CUUGCCUUUGGCAGGAUCUCAUCUAAGUCAAUCUACUGCAAUUGUACUUCCCAGAGCACCAGAGUCUGCCUUUAAGGCUGAUAUCGCCUCAUCUACUAAUCGGUAGCAGAAGAGAACAAGAUAACUACUUGGUACUAGCAACGCUGACUUCCAUGCCAACGUGCCCAUUAACCUUACACCUCUGCUUAUGUCUGGGUGUUUCCCGGAUGGCAAAGGUGAGUCACUGUCAGAGUCACAC
RNAcentral lists this long non-coding RNA (238 nucleotides) under Chinchilla lanigera (long-tailed chinchilla). Its description in RNAcentral is "lncRNA (ENSCLAG00000027046.1)". Lineage: Eukaryota; Metazoa; Chordata; Mammalia; Rodentia; Chinchillidae. The record is from RNAcentral.